This 840-nucleotide small RNA is filed under the name Pongo abelii (Sumatran orangutan). RNAcentral's name for it is "processed transcript". Lineage: Eukaryota; Metazoa; Chordata; Mammalia; Primates; Hominidae. The record is from RNAcentral.
CUAGCAAGGAGGCCGGUGCAGCUGGAGUGUGGAAAUGGCGGAAGUUGGAGGUAGACAAAUUAUGUGAGGCCACAGUAAGGUUUUGGGACUUUAUUCUGAGGAUGACGAGAAACCAGUUGAGGAUUUUGAGCAGAAAUGUGAAGUAACCCCCGCCCCCCGGCCUGGUGUUUUAAAAGAACUACUCUGGCUGCUUUGUAGAGAACUGCGUGGUUUGAAAGGAGCACCCAAGGUGAGCAAAAAGAUCUGCACUUUAUGCUACUCUCACUUAACUCACUCUAGGGCUGUGUGCCUCAAUUCUUUGCCUAUAAAAUGGAGGUGAGAGUGGCCGGGCAUGUUGGCUCACGCCUGUAAUCCCAACAAUUUGGGAGGCCGAGGCAGGCAGAUCACCUGAGGUCAGGAGUUCGAGACCAGUCUGACCAAUAUGAUGAAACCCCAUCUCUACUAAAAAUACAAAAAUUAGCCGGGCGUGGUGGCAUGUGCCUGUAAUCCCAGCUACUUGGGCGGCUGAGACAGGAGAGUCGCUUGAACCUGGGAGGCGGAGGUUUCAGUGAGCUGAGAUUGUACCAUUGCACUCCAGCCUGGGCAACAAGAGCGAAACUCCGUCUGGAAAAAAAAAAAAAAAUGGAGGUGUUCCCUUCCCGAAGAACUUCCUUCAGAUCUGCAAGAAGAUCCUGUGCCGCCUUUUCCGGGUCUUUGUCCACGUCUAUAUCCACCACUUCGACCGGGUCAUUGUGAUGGGUGCAGAGGCCCAUGUCAACACCUGCUACAAACACUUCUAUUACUUUGUCACAGAGAUGAACCUCAUAGACCGCAAGGAGCUAGAGCCUUUGGUAAGUGGCA